CUUAUGGGGGUGGGUGAAGGAGCAGGGCAAAGAGACAGAGCUGAUGUAGACAUAGGGACACUGUCCCUCAGGAUUCCAUACUUGGUGUUCUCCAUCUCUGCAGGCUGGGCUGAAGAAGUUGUAUAGUUCACAUCUGAGGGGGGGUCCUUUGCCGAGCUGCCGGGAGAUAUACAUCCUUUUACUCUGGAGAGGUGGAUUUGUUUCACUCCUGAAGGCCAGCAGCUCUCAGUGCAACAAAUGAAGCAGAGACAUAACACACUCAGCUCAUUGGGGAAAAAAUGAACUGAAGAACCAACCUUCGCACAAAUUGUUAAAAUAAAAAAAAAAUCAACUUUGGAAAAAAAAACAAAACAAACAAGAAAACAACAAAAAACAACUUGAAAAUACAGAAGGAUUGCCAGAAAAUGUGUGUGCCUUCACACACUCCUAUCUGCCCCAAGUCUUAGAUGCAGGCAGACUUCUUCUGCUGGGGAAAAAGGGCACAGCCUGUGGUACUGACAGUUUCUCAUUGUUGGUUGUGAGCCAUGACAGGCAGGUUUCAGAUUCAGUGAGCAAGUAUUGCCUCAUUUAAUUGCGAUGUUGCUAUGGACAAGACACUUAAAAGUAAAUGAGCUUCAAAGAACAUCUGUGAUAAGUUCCUGGCAUAAGCUGGGAGCCUCUUCCUUCAAGUGGGAGAAUGAGAAGAAAUGCAGCAGCUUGAGUGCAGCUGAAUGAGAUGAGAUGGUUGUAGCUCCAUCCCACCUGGCUUCAUGCCUACAGCUGGACUGCGUAAAAACCAGAGCAUGGGACUUGCUCUUUUUAUGAAGAUUUUCUGAGGUCACAAAACAAAGAGGAAGCCUCAUCCCAGAACACCAAACUAGACUUUCACACCCCAGUGAACCCAAUGACACCUCCAACCCAUGUGGAUACCAGAUGUUUGGGCAGAGUUUCUCCUAUGAAGUGUUUUCCCUGUCUUCAUGGCUGGUACACUUGGGCAUGGGGUAAAGAAGAGUAGAUGUAUGUCUAGCCCAGCUCAGGGAUGUGGUGGCUUUUGUUUGCCUCUUUGAGGAAGGAGGAGUGGGAAGUGGUCUCCUGUGGCAAUUGUAGUUGCAUGAGUAAUAAAAUGAGCUUGCCUCAUCUGAACCACUGGAGAAGUCAAGCUUAAAGGUUGACGUGAUGCCUUGCACUCCUGCGUUUCUAGCUCACUCUGUGCUUGCCCAUUUGCUCAGCAGCAGAAGGUGGUGGUGCUGCCCUCCCAUGGGGACAUGGCAUUGCAGGAGGAUGCUGGGUCAUGUUCUCUUCUCAUCCUUGGGAAAUGAGACCCCUCACUUCACUUGGCUUCCAGAUAAUGGAAGCCAAAGCAACUCUUGUUCACAUACAAAUGCUCAGCAACAUAAAGCUUUCCACAAGAAAGAAGAGCAGCAUCAAAAGCAGGAGUUAGUUUUGAGAU
Molecule: long non-coding RNA, 1429 nt
Organism: Columba livia (rock pigeon)
Lineage: Eukaryota; Metazoa; Chordata; Aves; Columbiformes; Columbidae
Exons: 2
Source: RefSeq, a predicted model, not a curated record